UGGGGAAUAUUGGACAAUGGGCGAAAGCCUGAUCCAGCCAUGCCGCGUGUGUGAAGAAGGUCUUCGGAUUGUAAAGCACUUUAAGUUGGGAGGAAGGGCAUUAACCUAAUACGUUAGUGUUUUGACGUUACCGACAGAAUAAGCACCGGCUAACUCUGUGCCAGCAGCCGCGGUAAUACAGAGGGUGCAAGCGUUAAUCGGAAUUACUGGGCGUAAAGCGCGCGUAGGUUGUGUGUUAAGUUGGAUGUGAAAUCCCCGGGCUCAACCUGGGAACUGCAUUCAAAACUGACUGACUAGAGUAUGGUAGAGGGUGGUGGAAUUUCCUGUGUAGCGGUGAAAUGCGUAGAUAUAGGAAGGAACACCAGUGGCGAAGGCGACCACCUGGACUAAUACUGACACUGAGGUGCGAAAGCGUGGGGAGCAAACA
RNAcentral lists this ribosomal RNA (427 nucleotides) under uncultured bacterium. RNAcentral's name for it is "partial 16S ribosomal RNA". It matches the Rfam family "Bacterial small subunit ribosomal RNA", at positions 355 to 774 of the family's 1533-position model. The record is from RNAcentral.